This is a long non-coding RNA of Lotus japonicus, 689 nucleotides long. RefSeq lists it as uncharacterized. The transcript has 3 exons. NCBI's taxonomy places the organism in Eukaryota, Viridiplantae, Streptophyta, Magnoliopsida, Fabales, Fabaceae. The record is from RefSeq and is a predicted model, not a curated record.
CUAAAAUCUAAAUAUCCACCAAUCCUCAGUUCCUCACCACCACUCUUUCUCUCUCACUCUCUCGAAGCCUCCAUUCUCUCAAACCCGAGAUUAAAGCCGCGUUCUCUCGUUCUCUCUCACUCUCAAUCGAAGCCCAGCCUCUCUUUCACUUGCUUUUUGGGCUCUGUAUAACCUCUGUUGAUCUCACGUCCAAGCUUGGCGUGCCUGUGCUGUCCCCUCCAUGAUGAUCUAUAGGCCACCAAACUUGUCCACGCAAUGCAAUUUCAGAACAAAUCUUAUCUUCCAGAAGUGUUUCCGGAUGUUGACUCCCUUGUCAUUUUUGCAUCAACUGUGAUUUCCUUGAUUAAUUGUGAGAGAUUUUUUACAGAGAUUGCUUUUGGGGACACGCAAUUCAGCGAAGUUUUGAACUUUGAGGUUAAUGAAAUAAGAGAGGUAUGCCAUCUAACGAAUUGCUUUCUCAAUUGAGGGUGAUAUCAAGACGGAAGGUUUAGUUAGUAAUUGUAAUGUUAGCAUAUUAGUUAGUAAUUGUAAUGGGAGCCUAAGCUGCUGUCUUCUAUACACAUGUACUUAAUUACAAGAGUUACUUACUAGUUCCAUAUUAAUAUUACAUAUUUAGCUAAAACAAGUGGCAUUGUUUUAAAAAAGUGGAUGUUAUUCCAAAGUAUAAUAUCAAUAUGGGAUGGUUGAAA